GCAGUCGACGGCAGCACGGGAGCAAUCCUGGUGGCGAGUGGCGAACGGGUGAGUAAUAUAUCGGAACGUGCCCAGUCGUGGGGGAUAACGCAGCGAAAGCUGUGCUAAUACCGCAUACGAUCUCUGGAUGAAAGCGGGGGACUCGCAAGGGCCUCGCGCGAUUGGAGCGGCCGAUAUCAGAUUAGCUAGUUGGUGGGGUAAAAGCCCACCAAGACGACGAUCUGUAGCUGGUCUGGGAGGACGACCAGCCACACUGGAACUGAGACACGGUCCAGACUCCUACGGGAGGCAGCAGUGGGGAAUUUUGGACAAUGGGCGCAAGCCUGAUCCAGCAAUGCCGCGUGAGUGAAGAAGGCCUUCGGGUUGUAAACUGCUUUUGUACGGAACGAAACGGCUGCCCCUAAUACGGGCGGCUAAUGACGGUACCGUAAGAAUAAGCACCGGCUAACUACGUGCCAGCAGCCGCGGUAAUACGUAGGGUGCGAGCGUUAAUCGGAAUUACUGGGCGUAAAGCGUGCGCAGGCGGUUAUAUAAGACAGAUGUGAAAUCCCCGGGCUCAACCUGGGACCUGCAUAUGUGACUGUAUAGCUAGAGUACGGUAGAGGGGGAUGGAAUUCCGCGUGUAGCAGUGAAAUGCGUAGAUAUGCGGAGGAACACCGAUGGCGAAGGCAAUCCCCUGGACCUGUACUGACGCUCAUGCACGAAAGCG
Molecule: ribosomal RNA, 709 nt
Filed under: uncultured bacterium
Lineage: Bacteria
Description: bacterial SSU rRNA
Rfam family: Bacterial small subunit ribosomal RNA
Source: RNAcentral